Molecule: small nuclear RNA, 134 nt
Organism: Phyllostomus hastatus (greater spear-nosed bat)
Lineage: Eukaryota; Metazoa; Chordata; Mammalia; Chiroptera; Phyllostomidae
Product: U4 spliceosomal RNA
Exons: 1
Source: RefSeq, a predicted model, not a curated record
AGCUUUAUGCAGUGGCAGUAUCGUAGCCAAUGAGGUUUAUCCGAGGUGCAAUUACUGCUAAUUGAAAACUAAAAAAAAAAACAUACAGCCGAUUUCAUACUUAACUGUGAAACACUGAAUGCUUUCCCCCUAAG